RNAcentral lists this ribosomal RNA (852 nucleotides) under uncultured Acidobacteriota bacterium. RNAcentral describes it as "bacterial SSU rRNA". It matches the Rfam family "Bacterial small subunit ribosomal RNA", at positions 8 to 842 of the family's 1533-position model. The record is from RNAcentral. Lineage: Bacteria; Pseudomonadati; Acidobacteriota.
AGAGAUCAUGGCUCAGAAUCAACGCUGGCGGCGUGCCUAACACAUGCAAGUCGAACGCGAAAGGGGAGCAAUCCCUGAGUAGAGUGGCAAACGGGUGAGUAACACGUGGGUGACCUGCCUUCGAGUGGGGGAUAACGUCCCGAAAGGGACGCUAAUACCGCAUGACAUCCUGCUUUUGGAAAAGCGGAGAUCAAAGCUGGGGAUCGCAAGACCUGGCGCUUGAAGAGGGGCCCGCGCCUGAUUAGCUAGUUGGUGAGGUAAUGGCUCACCAAGGCUACGAUCAGUAUCCGGCCUGAGAGGGCGGACGGACACACUGGGACUGAGACACGGCCCAGACUCCUACGGGAGGCAGCAGUGGGGAAUUGUUCGCAAUGGGCGCAAGCCUGACGACGCAACGCCGCGUGGAGGAUGAAGAUCUUCGGGUCGUAAACUCCUGUCGAGCGGGAAGAACAGCUUCGGAGUGAAUAUCUCUGAGGCCUGACGGUACCGCUAAAGGAAGCCCCGGCUAACUCCGUGCCAGCAGCCGCGGUAAUACGGGGGGGGCAAGCGUUGUUCGGAAUUACUGGGCGUAAAGGGCUCGUAGGCGGCCAACUAAGUCAGACGUGAAAUCCCCAGGCUCAACCUGGGAACUGCGUCUGAUACUGGAUGGCUUGAAUUCUGGAGAGGGAUGCAUAAUUCCAGGUGUAGCGGUGAAAUGCGUAGAUAUCUGGAGGAAUACCGGUGGCGAAGGCGGCAUCCUGGACCGACAUUGACGCUGAGGAGCGAAAGCUAGGGAAGCAAACGGGAUUAGAUACCCCGGUAGUCCUAGCCCUAAACGAUGAAUGCUGGGUGUAACGGGUAUCGAUCCCUGUU